This is a long non-coding RNA of Hemiscyllium ocellatum (epaulette shark), 433 nucleotides long. RefSeq lists it as uncharacterized. The transcript is spliced from 3 exons. The record is from RefSeq and is a predicted model, not a curated record. NCBI's taxonomy places the organism in Eukaryota, Metazoa, Chordata, Chondrichthyes, Orectolobiformes, Hemiscylliidae.
GAGGGAACAGCAGGCUCCUUCCAGGAGCACAUCGGGAUGGGAGCCUGGGACACAGAGGGGGCUCCGAGACCGGGAUUGAUUCGGGGCAAAUGAUUCAUGGACCAAGAUAAUGUAAUAUUUCCUCAGUACAAAGCCAAGUGAACAGCUGCUUCUAACAACUGGCAGGGUCUCCCAGUCUGGAUCGUACUCACCCAAACCGCGAACGGCAAACAAGGGAGUUGAAGAUCGCCAAAAUCGGCGAGGUGCACCUUCCCCUUCAUCCCAAGAGUGUCAAGCGGUCAGAGUUUUGGAUCCCGGUCAAGGCCCCCAAUUGUGAGAAAUAAAACUCACUCACAAAUCAGUCUGAGACAAAGCCUUGGAAACAAGAACAAUUUAUUACGGCCUUGCAAGUACCGGACGCCUCUGCAAUCAAGCAAAAAUGCACACAAAAACA